RNAcentral lists this ribosomal RNA (468 nucleotides) under uncultured bacterium. Its description in RNAcentral is "partial 16S ribosomal RNA". It matches the Rfam family "Bacterial small subunit ribosomal RNA", at positions 29 to 507 of the family's 1533-position model. The record is from RNAcentral.
UACGAACGCUGGCGGCGUGCUUAACACAUGCAAGUCGAACGGAAAGGCCCUGCUUUUGUGGGGUGCUCGAGUGGCGAACGGGUGAGUAACACGUGAGUAACCUGCCCUUGACUUUGGGAUAACUUCAGGAAACUGGGGCUAAUACCGGAUAGGAGCUCCUGCUGCAUGGUGGGGGUUGGAAAGUUUCGGCGGUUGGGGAUGGACUCGCGGCUUAUCAGCUUGUUGGUGGGGUAGUGGCUUACCAAGGCUUUGACGGGUAGCCGGCCUGAGAGGGUGACCGGCCACAUUGGGACUGAGAUACGGCUCAGACUCCUACGGGAGGCAGCAGUGGGGAAUAUUGCACAAUGGGCGGAAGCCUGAUGCAGCAACGCCGCGUGCGGGAUGACGGCCUUCGGGUUGUAAACCGCUUUCGCCUGUGACGAAGCGUGAGUGACGGUAAUGGGUAAAGAAGCACCGGCUAACUACGUG